UACAGAGGGUGCGAGCGUUAAUCGGAAUUACUGGGCGUAAAGCGCGCGUAGGCGGUUCGGCAAGUCGGGUGUGAAAUCCCCGGGCUCAACCUGGGAAUUGCAUCCGAAACUGCCGGGCUAGAGUGUGGUAGAGGGAAGCGGAAUUCCGCAUGUAGCGGUGAAAUGCGUAGAUAUGCGGAGGAACACCAGUGGCGAAGGCGGCUUCCUGGACCAACACUGACGCUGAGGUGCGAAAGCGUGGGGAGCAAACAGGAUUAGAUACCCUAGUAGUCC
This 273-nucleotide ribosomal RNA is filed under the name uncultured bacterium. RNAcentral's name for it is "partial 16S ribosomal RNA". It matches the Rfam family "Bacterial small subunit ribosomal RNA", at positions 524 to 796 of the family's 1533-position model. The record is from RNAcentral.